UAUCUCUGUAGAGUCUGCAUAUCAAUAAGCGGAGGAAAAGAAACUAACUAGGAUUCCCUUAGUAACGGCGAGUGAAGCGGGAAGAGCUCAAAUUUGAAAUCUUCAAGGUUUUACCUUGACGAAUUGUAGUUUAAAGAAGUGUUUUCUUUUGGAGUUUUGGUAAAAGUUCUUUGGAAUAGGACAUCAUAGAGGGUGAGAAUCCCGUAUUUGACCAUUAUUUCCAACUUUGUGAUACACUUUCAAAGAGUCGGAUUGUUUGGGAAUGCAGUCCAAAAUGGGUGGUAAAUUUCAUCUAAAGCUAAAUAUUGGCGAGAGACCGAUAGCGAACAAGUACCGUGAGGGAAAGAUGAAAAGAACUUUGAAAAGAGAGUUAAACAGUACGUGAAAUUGUCAAAAGGGAAGCGUUUGACACCAGUGUUGUUUUCUCGAAAAUCAAUUAAAAAUGGCCGGAUUUUGUGUUGUAUUGACUUUAUCAGCUUUCUGCACUUUUUUCUUGUCUUUUUUAAUGCACUUUUCGUUUAACAAGUCAACAUCAAUUUCUUUUGUUGUAAAAGAGUCAUUCGGAAGGUGGCCUUCUUUUCGGAGAAAGUGUUUAUAGCCCUAUACUUCUACAAUCGGAGAGAUUGAGGUCUGCAGCGUAGAUCCUUCGGGGUUAGAUACAUUUGUGCUAAGUUGUAGCUUUUCAUAGACAACUUGUUGACUAUGUUUAGUCAUGCGGCUUACUCGCUUAUGCUAUUUUACCUACGCUUAGGAUGUUGACUGAUAUGUAGUCGUA
RNAcentral lists this ribosomal RNA (775 nucleotides) under uncultured Neocallimastigales. RNAcentral describes it as "partial large subunit ribosomal RNA". It matches the Rfam family "Eukaryotic large subunit ribosomal RNA", at positions 24 to 644 of the family's 3401-position model. The record is from RNAcentral. Lineage: Eukaryota; Fungi; Neocallimastigomycota; Neocallimastigomycetes; Neocallimastigales.